This 331-nucleotide long non-coding RNA is filed under the name Populus tremula. RNAcentral's name for it is "long non-coding RNA (PTRE_LNC003450)". Lineage: Eukaryota; Viridiplantae; Streptophyta; Magnoliopsida; Malpighiales; Salicaceae. The record is from RNAcentral.
UAAGUCGACCUUCCAAAGCGUUCGAAGUAUCCCGGAACUAAAGGAAUCAGGUCUGGAGUCUUUCGGAAGCAUAGGAAUAGUACUGGGAAACUCUUGAAGGUGGUGGAACAGUAGCCACGCGCCACCUUAACUCCGGCGGGGGGUUCACGCGCCGCCGCGGGUAAAACCUCGUGGCUCUCGGGCGGAUUUGGUUGCAGCUGGUGUUGCUAUUGGCCAAGAGGGAGAAGGAGAAGAGUUUGAUUUCAUCUUAGUGUGGUGAUCGGUGGGGGUUGACAGAUCGAAAAGAAGAGGAAACCGUAAAGGGGAGAAACCAAAAGAAAGAGGGAGAGGG